This 253-nucleotide ribosomal RNA is filed under the name uncultured bacterium. RNAcentral's name for it is "partial 16S ribosomal RNA". It matches the Rfam family "Bacterial small subunit ribosomal RNA", at positions 524 to 776 of the family's 1533-position model. The record is from RNAcentral.
UACGGAGGGGGCUAGCGUUGUUCGGAAUUACUGGGCGUAAAGCGCACGUAGGCGGCUUUGCAAGUUAGAGGUGAAAGCCCGGGGCUCAACCCCGGAAUUGCCUUUAAAACUGCAUCGCUAGAAUUGUGGAGAGGUAAGUGGAAUUCCGAGUGUAGAGGUGAAAUUCGUAGAUAUUCGGAAGAACACCAGUGGCGAAGGCGACUUACUGGACACAUAUUGACGCUGAGGUGCGAAAGCUAGGGGAGCAAACGGG